ACUCUUUUAGUAUAUAAAGUAUUUUAAGCUUCCAACUUAAAGGAUAAUUUUAAUUAAAUGAGUA
RNAcentral lists this transfer RNA (64 nucleotides) under Aconurella montana. RNAcentral's name for it is "tRNA-Gly". The record is from RNAcentral. Lineage: Eukaryota; Metazoa; Arthropoda; Insecta; Hemiptera; Cicadellidae.